This 435-nucleotide ribosomal RNA is filed under the name uncultured bacterium. RNAcentral's name for it is "partial 16S ribosomal RNA". It matches the Rfam family "Bacterial small subunit ribosomal RNA", at positions 28 to 507 of the family's 1533-position model. The record is from RNAcentral.
GAUGAACGCUGGCGGUAUGCUUAACACAUGCAAGUCGAACGGACUCUUCGGAGUUAGUGGCGGACGGGUGAGUAACGCGUGAGAAUCUGGCUUUGGGUUCGGGACAACCACUGGAAACGGUGGCUAAUACCGGAUGUGCCGAGAGGUAAAAGAGAAAGUGCCUGAAGAUGAGCUCGCGUCUGAUUAGCUAGUUGGUGAGGUAAAGGCUCACCAAGGCAGCGAUCAGUAGCUGGUCUGAGAGGAUGACCAGCCACACUGGGACUGAGACACGGCCCAGACUCCUACGGGGGGCCGCAGUGGGGAAUUUUACGCUAUGGGCGAACGCCUGACGGAGCAACACCGCGUGGGGGAAGAAGGCUCUUGGGGUGUAAACCUCUUUUCUUAGGAAAGAACAAAAUGACGGUACCUAAGGAAUCAGCAUCGGCUAACUCCGUG